AGUCUUAUAAUCAAAUUUUAUGAUUUCAACCUGCAAACUUGAAAGUGAGGAAACUCUAAGGCUU
RNAcentral lists this transfer RNA (64 nucleotides) under Tetartopeus terminatus. RNAcentral's name for it is "tRNA-Cys". Lineage: Eukaryota; Metazoa; Arthropoda; Insecta; Coleoptera; Staphylinidae. The record is from RNAcentral.